This is an RNA transcript of Cephus cinctus (wheat stem sawfly), 2830 nucleotides long. It is a transcript of the gene named phosphotriesterase-related protein, with no coding region annotated. The transcript has 9 exons. NCBI's taxonomy places the organism in Eukaryota, Metazoa, Arthropoda, Insecta, Hymenoptera, Cephidae. The record is from RefSeq and is a predicted model, not a curated record.
AACAAGCCCUGCGUUACAUAAGACGUCGCAGCUUCAUUGUCGUUCAUUAGCGAGCUGGAAUUUGGUGACAAAUUGAUUUAGUUGAAUCAUCAGGUUUUCGUGGUACGAGGAACUAAGAUGAAUAUAGCGAGCGUACAGACUGUAUUGGGGCCAGUGAGACCAUCUGAACUUGGCAGAACCUUGACCCAUGAACAUUUUGCACUUGAUUUUGAAAAAUUUUAUACACCACCGCCGGACAGUCUUAAGUCUGAUUUAGACAAGAAAAUUGAGCUGUGUAAUGUAGGAUACGUUAGGCAAUAUCCGUAUGGUAGCCAUUACAAUAUUACUUUCAAUGAUCCCGAUACCCAUGCGGCUGUGUUGAAAGACGUGAAGCUGUUCAAAAAGUUUGGUGGUGGAACAAUUGUUGAGAAUACUAAUCACGGGAUAAAAAGGGACAUUUCUUUGAUGAAAAAUAUUUCCUUGGAAACUGGCGUACACGUUAUCACCGGAACUGGUCAUUACGUUUCUCUGACGCAAAGCAAGAGUGCGCUGUCGGCGAGUAAGGAAGAAAUGUACGAUCUUAUUAUGCAAGAAAUGACAAUUGGAUGUAAUGGGAAUCCAGAAGUUAAAGCUGGAUUUAUUGGAGAAGUUGGUAGCGCUUGGCCUAUCGAUGACUUUGAGAGAAAAGCAAUUCAAGCAGCUGGUGAAGCUCAGGCCCAGCUCGGUUGCCCUGUGAGUUUUCAUCCUGGACGAGAUCCUAGGGCACCGUUUGAAAUAAUUCGACUUUAUAUGGAAGCUGGUGGUGCUGUCACUAAAGCUAUUAUGUCUCACUUAGAUCGCACUUUCAUUACCGAGGAGAGUUUGCUGGAAUUUUCUACGUCUGGUUGCUUCUGUCAGUAUGAUCUUUUCGGUACGGAGUGCUCGUAUUAUCAACUGAAUCCAUCAACCGACAUGCUGUCCGAUGCUCAGAGAAUCGACAGGGUGAAGCUUCUACGGGACGAAGGAAAACUGGAUAGGAUUCUCUUGAGUCAUGACAUUCACACGAAACAUCGUCUGAUCGAUUUUGGAGGGCAUGGAUAUUCGCAUAUAUACAAUAACGUUUUACCAAAAAUGAUCAUCAAGGGAUUUACUCAAGAUGAGAUAGACGUAAUCACUAUUGAGAAUCCGAAGACUUGGUUGUCGCCAUGAAUCCAUUAACUCUUGUAUUAAACAUCACCUACCGCAUCGCUAAUUACACUAUUCCAUUUUACAAGGAAACAUAAAAAUAUCUCACUCGAAGGAUAGAUUCUUCAGUUUUUUUUUCAAUUUAGCCAGACGUUGUGCAAUGUUUCAUAAUUCAAACUGUAAUCGACCUACGUCGAUCGAGACUAUUUAUAUUCGUAACAAAACGCCUAAAAAGGCUUAUAUGUUUAUGUCCGAAUCUUAGUCAUUGCUCAGACUGCCUAUUAUUACUUUUUUUUUACAUACAUAGUCUUUAUUACUUUACGAGUGACUGACCUAUUGGCAUGCAGGAAAGUAUUCGACAUGUGGAAACCGACACGAAAUAAUGAAAUGUUUCUCGUAAGAUGAAUCACAGGCAUGAGUCAAAUACGGAUUGACGCGUUCUUGACCGUUAUUAAAAGCAAAAGGAACUAUCAGACAGACCGGUCUUCGAGCGUGGGAUGUCCCCUUCAUCCGGUUCCUCUUUUAUGCAUAAAUUAUUCUAAAUUAAGAAUAAAACCGAACAUCGUUAAAACAGGAUAUAACAAGGAAACGAGACACAGCAUAUCAGGAUAAAUUCUGCAGAAUAAGUUCCUAACGAAUGUCUUGGCGCAAUAAAUCAGAGGACGGAAAAAAAAGCAAAAGAAAAUUAUAAUUAGGACAAUUAUAACAAUAAGAUGCAUCAGAGAGAACGAAGAAGUGAGCGAGAGACUCUGCAAUGUUUUCAACAAUAAUCGAUGCACAGUCAGUUGUCUGAUACAUUAUCUUAUCCGAGGUGUGCUGUGUACAUACAUUCGUUUCAGCAGCCGAGGAAAUACUUUGUUCACACAUGCCAAUGGAGUCGUCCAGACCAUAUGGACCUGGAUACAGUUGUGUUUGACUGUCAAAAGUAUUGCGAAAUAAGUCAAAGGAAGGUAUACAAAAAAUUGAGAGACAAACCGUCGACCAUCAGUAGUACUGAAUAAUCGGUAACAAACGACAAAAGACAGUGCUACACAAGAAUGCAAUAUAGGUAUACCAAGAAGGAAAAGGGUUGUCGCAUAGCCGGCAAUUCCCAAGACGUUGCAUCACGUAUGGAAAUUCUUUAUCGCGUGCGUAGGUAAAUCUCAACACCAUGCUUCUGCAUAGUCCCCCCUCUCUUUCUACCACUUGAAAAUUGUGGUCGGCCGGUAGCACGUGUAUGCCAGUCUAGUAAAGCAGUCCUCGUUGAUGUAUAAAUAAGUCGUACAGUACGAAAGUCAAUUCACUCUUGAUUCGCCGCCCGACGACUACUUAGUGGAAUCAUUGAAGAUCCUAAUAAGAAGUAGAUUAAAGAUCAGUCUCGUGCAACGGGCAGGUGAUACGAGUAAAAGUAAAAUAAUACGAAGUGAACCCUGUGAUGAAAAUAGAUUAGGAUCAAAAAUAGAAAUAAGGAAAGUUAAAUCCCAGUGAGAAAUUCAGCACCAGUGUCUACGAUAUUUAUUAAAUAUUUUUCACAAUGAAUAUCUCUUGGUCCCUGAACGUGCUCAUUCUUCUGACUUUUGAGCGAUUAGUGAUAUGCGCACCGUCCGCAGGUGAUAAGAAAAUAAAAAAGAUACAUUUUAAGCAAGUUAUGAACAUGUCUAUAAUAUUCAAGUGUACCAAUCCUCAAGAACGAUCUUAUUACCUGGCG